RNAcentral lists this non-coding RNA (172 nucleotides) under Candidatus Pseudogracilibacillus intestinigallinarum. RNAcentral's name for it is "Staphylococcus sRNA 414". It matches the Rfam family "Staphylococcus sRNA 414". Rfam says of the family: Antisense of an annotated CDS (SAOUHSC_1422) but was considered an trans-encoded sRNA rather than a typical antisense RNA. The record is from RNAcentral. Lineage: Bacteria; Bacillati; Bacillota; Bacilli; Caryophanales; Bacillaceae.
UUUUGAAUGUUUCAUCCACAUUGCCUUUACCACAUAUGUGCACAAUUUGAUAUGUCUUUAAUAAAAUAUCUAAAUUUUCACGAAUUAUGUCAUUAAUUUUUUGGGAACCGAUACUCCCCCCCAUAAUAAGUAAGGUCGUUUUUCCCUCAUUAAAUCCAGUUAAUUCAUAUCC